CCCCUCAAAACAGACUUCGAACCUCCUAAAGACCGGGGUGAGUGCCUUACCAUAAGGCAAGUAAGCCCUAGACCUAUUUUGGAUCUCUCUCAUGGCCUCAAACAUCAUAGCAGGAAGGUUCAAGGAGGUCUCGGUGAUCAUAUGGUACAUGAUGCAUAUAUCCCUACCAGAUAAGAGGUCAUGCCUACCACUCUUAGGGACAAAAAGUUUGGUCACCAUGUGAUGCAAAAGUCUCAUCUUUACUGAAAGUAUCUUUGCUUCUAAUUUAUUUAAAUUUUUUGUAAAUGCUCUCCCUAAAAUAAUACUUAGUCCCUCUUCU
Molecule: long non-coding RNA, 319 nt
Filed under: Elaeis guineensis (African oil palm)
Lineage: Eukaryota; Viridiplantae; Streptophyta; Magnoliopsida; Arecales; Arecaceae
Description: long non-coding RNA (EGUI_LNC049841)
Source: RNAcentral